Molecule: ribosomal RNA, 258 nt
Filed under: uncultured bacterium
Lineage: Bacteria
Description: partial small subunit ribosomal RNA
Rfam family: Bacterial small subunit ribosomal RNA
Source: RNAcentral
AGAAUCAACGCUGGCGGCGUGCCUAACACAUGCAAGUCGAACGAGAAAGGGGAGCAAUCCCUGAGUAAAGUGGCGACCGGGUGAGUAACACGUGACUAACCUACCUUCGAAUGGGGGAUAACUCCGGGAAACCGGGCUAAUACCGCAUAACAUCUCCGGAUCGGAAGAACUGGGGAUCAAAGGAGCAAUUCGUUGAAGAGGGAGUCGCGGCUGAUUAGCUUGUUGGCGGGUAAUGGCCCACCAAGGCGAUGAUCGGUA